GGCUCGGUAGCUUAGUUGGUAAAGCACUCGUCUAGCAUAUAAGAGUCCUGGGUUCCAAUCCCAGCCGAGCAC
Aedes aegypti (yellow fever mosquito) is the source of this 72-nucleotide non-coding RNA. NCBI's taxonomy places the organism in Eukaryota, Metazoa, Arthropoda, Insecta, Diptera, Culicidae. The record is from Rfam.